RNAcentral lists this non-coding RNA (45 nucleotides) under Schistosoma margrebowiei. Lineage: Eukaryota; Metazoa; Platyhelminthes; Trematoda; Strigeidida; Schistosomatidae. The record is from RNAcentral.
AUCCAGUUGACGAGUCUCAAAUAGGACGAAACGUCUGUCUUCGAU